RNAcentral lists this ribosomal RNA (407 nucleotides) under uncultured bacterium. RNAcentral's name for it is "partial 16S ribosomal RNA". It matches the Rfam family "Bacterial small subunit ribosomal RNA", at positions 30 to 526 of the family's 1533-position model. The record is from RNAcentral.
AUUGAACGCUGGCGGCAGGCCUAACACAUGCAAGUCGAGCGGAGCGGCGGACGGGUGAGUAAUGCCUAGGAAUCUGCCUGGUAGUGGGGGAUAACGUCCGGAAACGGGCGCUAAUACCGCAUACUAUCAGAUGAGCCUAGGUCGGAUUAGCUAGUUGGUGGGGUAACGGCUCACCUAGGAGACGAUCCCUAGCUGGUCUGAGAGGAUGCACAGACACACUGGAACUGAGACACGGUCCAGAGUCCUACGGGAGGCAGCAGUGGGGAAUAUUGCACAAUGGGCGCAAGCCUGAUGCAGCCAUGCCGCGUGUAUGAAGAAGGUCUUCGGGUUGUAAAGUACUUUCAGCUGGGAGUCGUUACCCACAGAAGAAGCACCGGCUAACUCCGUGCCAGCAGCCGCGGUAAUAC